CGUGCCUAUACAUGCAGUCGAGCGACGAUGAAGAAGCUGCUUCUUCUAUUUAUCGCGGACGGUGAGAACACGUGGGCAACCUACCUAGUAGAUUGGGAUAACUCCGGGAAACCGGGGCUAAUACCGAAUAAUCCAUUUGUCACAUGGCAAAAUGCUGAAAGGCGGUUUCGGCUGUCACUACUAGAUGAGCCCGCUGUGCAUUAGCUAGUUGGUGGGGUAAUGGCCUACCAAGGCAACGAUGCAUAGCCGACCUGAGAGGGUGAUCGGCCACAUUGGGACUGAGACACGGCCCAAACUCCUCCGGGAGGCAGCAGUAGGGAAUCUUCCACAAUGGACGAAAGUCUGAUGGAGCAACGCCGCGUGAGUGAUGAAGGUUUUCGGAUCGUAAAACUCUGUUGUAAGGGAAGAACAAGUACGUUAGUAACUGAACGUACCUUGACGGUACCUUAUUAGAAAGCCACGGCUAACUACGUGCCAGCAGCCGCGGUAAUACGUAGGUGGCAAGCGUUGUCCGGAUUUAUUGGGCGUAAAGCGCGCGCAGGUGGUUUCUUAAGUCUGAUGUGAAAGCCCACGGCUCAACCGUGGAGGGUCAUUGGAAACUGGGAGACUUGAGUGCAGAAGAGGAAAGUGGAAUUCCAAGUGUAGCGGUGAAAUGCGUAGAGAUUUGGAGGAACACCAGUGGCGAAGGCGACUUUCUGGUCUGUAACUGACACUGAGGCGCGAAAGCGUGGGGAGCAAACAGGAUUAGAUACCCUGGUAGUCCACGCCGUAAACGAUGAGUGCUAAGUGUU
RNAcentral lists this ribosomal RNA (791 nucleotides) under Viridibacillus sp. Its description in RNAcentral is "bacterial SSU rRNA". It matches the Rfam family "Bacterial small subunit ribosomal RNA", at positions 43 to 824 of the family's 1533-position model. Lineage: Bacteria; Bacillati; Bacillota; Bacilli; Caryophanales; Caryophanaceae. The record is from RNAcentral.